Molecule: transfer RNA, 73 nt
Filed under: Macleaya cordata
Lineage: Eukaryota; Viridiplantae; Streptophyta; Magnoliopsida; Ranunculales; Papaveraceae
Rfam family: tRNA
About the family: Transfer RNA (tRNA) molecules are approximately 80 nucleotides in length.
Source: Rfam by way of RNAcentral
GUGGGGAUAGCUCAGUUGGGAGAGCGUCAGACUGAAGAUCUGAAGGUCGAAUGUCCGAUCCACGUUGACUGCA